GGGGGCGGUGCAUCAGAGCGCAGGUGGCGCUGCGAGUUAACGUACUUGUCCUCUCAGAGCUCAGGUCUGAUGAUAAACAAGGUCUUCCACGUCAUGGGGACUCCCCAGUGCAGUCUGCACACCUAAAUAUGCCUGCUCCGAGUAAGGAGACUUCCCUCUUUAAGGUGAUUCAGAGCCUGUUAAAGUCAACAGGAGACCUUCCAAUGACUUCAGUGAAAAUUAGAAUAAAAUACAGACAUUAAGGU
Long non-coding RNA from Struthio camelus australis, 245 nucleotides. RefSeq lists it as uncharacterized. The record is from RefSeq and is a predicted model, not a curated record. Lineage: Eukaryota; Metazoa; Chordata; Aves; Struthioniformes; Struthionidae.